Molecule: long non-coding RNA, 850 nt
Organism: Perca fluviatilis (European perch)
Lineage: Eukaryota; Metazoa; Chordata; Actinopteri; Perciformes; Percidae
Exons: 2
Source: RefSeq, a predicted model, not a curated record
UUCGACCUUUUUGAUGAGAUGGAUCAGAUCCUCGGCCAAAGGCCCAUCGUAGUUUCCUUGGCUUCUAAUAUUAACAGCUCAGGUAAGAUAUCCCGUUAUCGUUCUCAUUUACUUUGAGGAACGCAUUAAGCUUUGAUCCGGACUGUCCGUCAUCUCACAUUUGUAUCUUGUUCAUUUUAGCCGAGACUUCAAUUACUGAAGAGAAACAGCAAUGAUGAGGGAGAUGUUACAGAGUCUACAGAAGACUCAGGAGAUGGAACAUGCAGCUUGAGUGAUGCCAACGUGUCUGCAACUAUGGAAGCAAUAGACAAAUCCUUGCCCAUUGAAGAAUCGGCCACACCGAGUAACCCCCCAAGAUUAUGGCAACACCAGUCAAAGAGAGACCCAGAAAGAAUGAUGCAGGGGAGAUGAGAUCCUUCUACAUGUCCUUUCUCGAUCAACAACGUGAGCAGGCAGCACAAGAUAAAAAAUCAUUGGAGUCCAUCACCAUGGUCAUUUCACAGGCAGUUCGGUGUCUUGAGCGGUGUGCCAAUGCAGCCGAGAGGCAUGCAGAAGCCACUCAAGUCCUAGCUGGGAUGAGCCAACAACAAAGUAGGGGCAAUUACAAUACAUUUCAAGGGCAACACCAAUUUACCUACCACCACGCUCCCCACCCACCCACUCCCCAACCACCCACAUCUGAUGCUGCACACUCAUCUCCUCACAUGGAACCUAACUUGCCAUUCACUGCUUAUCUUAACUUACAGUAGAGUAAAUUGUUAAAGGUGGAGUCAGCAAUUCUGGAGAAUGCUUGUUGUCAACCUCAGUAAAUAUCUCCUCACGAUCCGCUAUCUGUCCAAACUUGUGCGCU